CCCAAAUAAUAUGACGAGUCAGAACCUCGUUAUAACGGGAAAGUGAACGGCGCUGCUAGCUGCUAGCGGUCAGCGACAAAAAAAAGAAUAAAACACGCACAAGACGCUAGACGUUGACUAACGCAUUCGGUGGAUCCCAUUUCAAAAUAAUUCUUUGAGUUCCUUGUGUUUUGGGGAUCGGGUGAGAGUUUGGCAGCCGACUGUCCCUGGCUUCCCGACGACAGUAAAGAUGCCGGGAUAUUGUCACCCCGUUUCCCCUUUCCAGUCACCUCUCAGAGUGCCCACCUAACAAAAACCAAACUUGCCCAUUCCAUUGUUCCCUCGCCAUCUCUAAGACUCAGUGCUACAUUAGCCACUUAAGACAUCGAUUAGAGAUCAAGUGCAUCAUAGAGGAAUGUAUAGUCAUUUGUUCCAUUCCUUUAAGAAAUCUUCAAAAAGCUGCCGUCUGUCAGCUACUAAGCAGGCUGCCGUGGCUUCCUGUUUAAAAUCAAAUAACGUAUCAAGAAAUCGUAACGGCCAUUACACAUGCCGUGAUAUGAUGUGUCUAGCCGACUUCUAGCGGAUUAUCUCCUCAGAUCCCAUCCAGAGAUCAUCUCUGUGCACGAAUUAAAUGCUGGUUCACAGCACACCCUGCUGGACACUUCCCCACAUCUUAUGGCAGCCUCUUCCACGGUAAUAACAACAGAGGUCCAAAGCAGAGGAGAAUUCCGUAAUACUUUUCAAGGAUAGAAAUUAAAUUAACGAACAUAAGACAUAUAAAUACAUGUAUAUAAAACAAAAAUCGAACUCCUCUGAAAACAAAAUACUGCGAUUUGAAACUGUCACUGUGCGGAAUGGUGUUGGUCACAUUACUGCCACAUGACAUUGAACUAUUCGACUUCAAACUAAACAACAGAAACAGAAACAAGACCAUCUAGUGGGCAGGUUAGGCACUGCAAUGACGACGACCGCGUAGUUUGCGCAGGAAGGCGAAAGCUCAGCACUCGAUCUGUGACUGCAGCUGCCUGCGCAGCGUGAGGGUGCGGCGGUGCAGCUGCUGCAUCUGCUGCAUGCGGUCCCGCUGUCGGGCCAGGUUCUGAGGCAUGGGGUAUCGCUGGCAGCCGUACAGGAAGCGGUACGGGAUGCGAACGUGGCAGGCGGUGGCCCGGCACCGCGGCUGCGGCAUUGGCGGGAGCAGAGUCCAGCGCUUCCUCUCUGCGCAGUAGCGAUAGGCCUCCUUGCGGUACUGCUUGUCCACGUCGUCGCUGUUCUUCCAGCCCCCGAUGAUGAAGACAUCCUCUCCGAAGUGGCAGAUGGCGGCCCCCUCGAUGCUGGUGACCUCGGGCGGCAAGCUUUCUAGUAUCUCGUCGGAGGCGCGGGUGCCGACCUUCUGCCGGGCCACCUCGUCUCGCACCGCGUAGCUCUUGGGGCAGCAGGAGGCGGUGUGGUAGAAGUUGGUGGCCGCCACAGCCAUCUGAAAGAUGCAGUAGUUGUCGAUGAGGGGCAAGGACUCCAUGUCUUGCCACUGCCUGCUUUCGGUAUCGUAGCGCGUGGUGAUGGUCUUCAGCCCGUCGUCACUGUCCGUGUCUACGGGCGUGCGGGCCGUCACGUACACGUAGCGGUCCUCUACGCUCACCGCCUUCACGUCCCGCAGGAUCUUGGGCGCCGACUCCAGGUUGUGCCACUUAUCCUGCUCGGGCUCGUAGACGCUCACGUCCUUGAAGCCGGGACUGAAGUUGCCGUGGCCCCCGAUGCUGUAGAGGACGUCUUUGAUGCAGGUGAGCCCGAACGAGUGUUUGCGAGUGGUCAGGUUGCUGACCUGCUCCCAGGUGUUGCGAUUGGGGUUGUAGCGCUCCAUGGUCUUGGCGAAGCCGGGCUCCAUAGAGCCCGCCACGUAGACGUGCGACUCGGUGGUAGCGAUGGCGUGGCCGUCCAGAUGGUUGUGGAUGUGAGGCAGGUUGACCCAGCGGUCCUCGUGGAUGAAGUAACCGACACACUCGCUCAGGUAGUCUCCCCCCUCCGAGACCCCACCCACCACCAUGAUCACGUCCAUGUUCUGGCCGAAGCGCGGCUGGAAGGAGGCCAUGUAGGAGGACCAGAAUUCCAGAUCGGCCGACUUAUGGCUCUCAAAACGGAGGGCGUGACCCUCCACCGCCUCCGAGACGAGCCGGCGGCAGGCCUCCCGAUCGGCCACCAGCCGCUCCGACUUGACCACCCGCGUCAGGUAGGUGGGCUUGAUCUGAGGCAGCCGCAAAAGGCGGAAGAGCUCCUCAAAGUGCUUCUCUCGCUCGGCCAGGUUUCUCUGCACCCACUUGACGAUGGCCUCGAAGAGAACCUCCUCUGAGUCCACGGUGAUCUCAGCGUCCGACAGCCAGUCGCGCACCAGGUGGAAGGGCAGUGUGUAAAACUCCUCGUCCUGGAUGACCUUGUGGAAGUUUCGCCGGAUCAUGUCAGCAGCACGCAGCGCCAGCUGGUCCAGUGAGUACAUGUGGGCCAGGCUGUGCACAGCCACGCAGUUGGUCAGAUUCAGCUUCUUUUUCAGGAAUUCGCCACAGAAGUCUUUCAGCUGGCCCAGUAAGAACCUGGACCAUAAGAGCAGAACAUACUAUCAACAACAAAUGUCUAAGAAAACUUGACUUACAUAGACAAGCACUCUGUAAAUGCAUUUUCCUUUAUGGAUGCUGUUUUACUAUUAAAUUAAAUUAAUGCCUUGGAUAUUUUUUCCAUUAAAUAAAAUAUUUAAUAACAUUCGAUUAAUAGGAUUCAUGCGCAUUUUCUUCGACUAAAGUAGUUUGUCGCAAAACUGUAAACUAUAUCCUGUUUUUUGGAGACGAAAGAAAAUAUGUAUUGAAAAAGCACAGGAAAAGUGACCCUUAUUUCUUUCAAAAACAAACCAGUUUUAAUUGCAGCUGGCUACCAGCAUAGGGAGGUCAUGGCAGAAUUUCAGGACUGACAAGUUUUUCGCCAGGGAUACAAACGCGUUUGGUCACUCAUCUGCUACAAAGAGACAGGAAACACUGAACUAAACACACGCAAAGGGAACCCCGUAAAGAGGGUUACUGCAUACCUUUACAGACCUCCUUCCCCACCGGAAAAAUAUUCCAUUCUGCAAGCUUCAAAAAUCUAAAUAUUACUACUGCCAAGAGGUCGGCAGUAUGUGGCCAGCCACAGCCACAGAUGGUUGCCCCUCACCUGUCAGCCAGCUCCAGAACUUCGUGGACGUUGCAAGUGCUGACCCGUAUUUCCCCGGUAUACAUGUACUGGAUGACGAUUUCCACGGUCUCCGGGUCGGGCCCCAUUUCGGAACUCCACUCCUUCAUCUCCACGCGUCGGGACAGCGACUCGGAAUACUGCCCUCCGAGCAGCGGGGUGAAGUAGUCGGUGGCCGCCGCCAGCACGGAGCGGUGGGCGGAGAACUCGCAGCUCCUCACGCCACCGGCGGCCCCGCCGCUGCUGAAGGCCAGCGUCACAUCGCAGAACAGCCCCUGCUUCCGCUGCUCGUUCUGCCGACGAGACAGCUCCGAGCAAUGAGUGGUGGAGUUAAAGCCCUCGGCCUCUUCCGAGUCUCCGUCCCCGGCCAAAGAACUCGUCGUGCCGUUGCCACCGCCGGUCCGGUUUACAUCCUCCGGGUUAGGGGCGGCUGCCGCCAUGCUGGCUGCCAACGCUACGAUAGAAAUUGCGGCAGUAGGAUGCAGGAGCGCCCACAGGACGCGGACACGCGCGCCUACACACAAACACACACACACACACACACACACGAACCCAAACCCGAAAACCCUAAAUUUGGUGCAUGCGCAUAAGGCGCUGAGUGACGUCACUGCAGUGACCUAACUGGGCGUGGUGUGAGGAGAUCAGGCCUGCGCGGCAGCCACGCGCUUCUUUUUGAAAAGGUACGUGGCCCUAUGGAGAGUAGUGGUGAUGGGAUUUAUGGCUCUUUGAGGGGAUCCGGAUCUUGGCGAUCCGUUCCUUUCAAAGAGCCGUUCAAUAGAACGGCUCUUUUGGCUCUUUUAAAAUAUUUAGUCAGUUUUAAGAAGCCAGCUUGGGGGCAUCUCAGUUUAUCCUGGAAAUAAUCAAUGGGAGGAAUGAUGAGGUGAGAUUUGUAGUCAAAUAAUUAAAACUCAGAUAUCACACACCAAUAUCUGAGUUUGAAUUAUUCUGAAAUAUUGAUUAUUACCUCAUUUGUCACGUGUGGACUAUAUUCCAUAGGGUUGCACAACAUCCCUCUGCUUAGACAGUGACAUCACUAUUUUGGAUUUACCUUAAGUGUGUGUAUGCGUAAAGCUAAGUUGACUUAUGUUAUUCAUACAAUACCUACUCACAAAUAAACAUCAAAAACAAA
Brienomyrus brachyistius is the source of this 4318-nucleotide long non-coding RNA. RefSeq lists it as uncharacterized. Lineage: Eukaryota; Metazoa; Chordata; Actinopteri; Osteoglossiformes; Mormyridae. The record is from RefSeq and is a predicted model, not a curated record. The transcript is spliced from 3 exons.